GACGAACCGGACAAACGUUAUUCGGAAUUACUGGGCUUAAAGGGUACGUAGGCGGUCCGGUAAGUGGGGUGUGAAAUCCCUCGGCUCAACCGAGGAACUGCGCCCCAUACUGCCGGACUUGAGGGAGACAGAGGUCAGCGGAACUGAUGGUGGAGCGGUGAAAUGCGUUGAUAUCAUCAGGAACACCGGUGGCGAAAGCGGCUGACUGGGUCUCUUCUGACGCUGAGGUACGAAAGCUAGGGGAGCGAACGGGAUUAGAUACCCCGGUAGUCCUAGCUGUAAACAAUGAGCACUUGAUCGAGGGCCCCCCCAUAGGCUCUUGGUCGAAGCGAAAGUGUUAAGUGCUCCGCCUGGGGAGUAUGGUCGCAAGGCUGAA
This 376-nucleotide ribosomal RNA is filed under the name uncultured bacterium. Its description in RNAcentral is "bacterial SSU rRNA". It matches the Rfam family "Bacterial small subunit ribosomal RNA", at positions 524 to 898 of the family's 1533-position model. The record is from RNAcentral.